AGUGGAGGGGACGUGUCCCUUUUUGUAGGUACUGUAUGAAUAAGGACCGGGCUAAUUCCGUGCCAGCAGCCGCGGUAAUACGGAAGGUCCCGGGCGUUAUCCGGGAUUAUUGGGUUUAAAGGGAGCGCAGGCUGAUGAUUAAGCGUGACGUGAAAUGUAGCCGCUCAACGGCUGAACUGCGUCGCGAACUGGUUAUCUUGAGUGAGUUCGAUGUUGGCGGAAUUCGUGGUGUAGCGGUGAAAUGCUUAGAUAUCACGAAGAACUCCGAUUGCGAAGGCAGCCAACAAGGCCUUUACUGACGCUAAAGCUCGAAGGUGCGGGUAUCGAACAGGAUUAGAUACCCUGGUAGUCCGCACGGUAAACGAUGGAUGCCCGCUGUUUGCGAUAUACUGUGAGCGGCCAAGAGAAAUCGUUAAGCAUCCCACCUGGGGAGUACGCCGGCAACGGUGAAACUCAAAGGAAUUGACGGGGGCCCGCACAAGCGGAGGAACAUGUGGUUUAAUUCGAUGAUACGCGAGGAACCUUACCCGGGCUUGAACUGCAGGAGAACGAUACAGAGAUGUUGAGGCCCUUCGGGGCUCCUGUGGAGGUGCUGCAUGGUUGUCGUCAGCUCGUGCCGUGAGGUGUCGGCUUAAGUGCCAUAACGAGCGCAACCCUUUUCAUUAGUUGCCAUCAGGUAAUGCUGGGCACUCUGGUGAUACUGCCACCGUAAGGUGUGAGGAAGGUGGGGAUGACGUCAAAUCAGCACGGCCCUUACGUCCGGGGCUACACACGUGUUACAAUGGGGGGUACAGAAGGCGGGAUCAAUGCAAAUUGGUUCAAAUCUUAAAAGCCCUCCUCAGUUCGGAUUGGGGUCUGCAACCCGACCCCAUGAAGCUGGAUUCGCUAGUAAUCGCGCAUCAGCCAUGGCGCGGUGAAUACGUUCCCGGGCCUUGUACACACCGCCCGUCAAGCCAUGAAAGCCGGGGGCGCUUGAAGUCCGUGACCGCAAGGAUCGGCCUAGAGCGAAACUGGUAAUUGGGGCUAAGUCGUAACAAGGUAAAUCACUGCCGUCGGUAAUCCUA
RNAcentral lists this ribosomal RNA (1064 nucleotides) under uncultured bacterium. RNAcentral's name for it is "bacterial SSU rRNA". It matches the Rfam family "Bacterial small subunit ribosomal RNA", at positions 448 to 1533 of the family's 1533-position model. The record is from RNAcentral.